GAUGGGUGCUUUUUGCGGAUGUUGAUUGAGGUAGUGAUCAAAGCCUCCCAAAGCCAUACAUUGGGGUCAAUGUAUCCCAAGUGUGGGGAUGGGGGGAAUUUUUUGAAGAUUUUUGAAAAAUUUUAAGCCGAGCAAAACAAUGUGAAAUCUUGUCGCCCUAAUUUAUCCCCAAGUUAAUGCACCGGCAACCCUUAUUACCCUUUUCAUUCUUGGUGAGAGUUGUAACCACACGUGUAUAUAAAUAAUCUUUGAUGAGAGUGGCUAUGGGUGGGGGUGCGUUAGAACUUGUGCUUGAAUACGAUUUGAAUCCUUAGUUAGACAUGAAUGUAGAAAGGAUAAGGGCAUUAGGUAGCCUCGUCGUUGGUGUGAGCGAGUGUGGGAUUUGGGGGGUUGGACCUCAUAAGUUAUAUAUAUGAGCAUGGUAGUGAGAGGGGCGGGGGUUUGGUCAUUUAGUUGCCCAAUUUUGUGCCUAAAGCCUAUCAUUUGUUUCCCCUAGCUACUUACUUAAAAAUUUACCCAAAUUUGACCCGGUCUUAUAGCGUUAGUGUUAGAAUUAGUAGUUUUGUGAGUUUGAAGUAGUCAUGGUUAAUGUAUUAUCGUAUUGUUAAAAUAAAAAAAUAAAAAAAAAACAAAAAAAAAAGAGAAAAAAAAAUAAAAAUAAAAAAAAGAGAAAAAAAGUAAUGAG
RNAcentral lists this long non-coding RNA (685 nucleotides) under Helianthus annuus (common sunflower). RNAcentral's name for it is "hypothetical non coding rna". Lineage: Eukaryota; Viridiplantae; Streptophyta; Magnoliopsida; Asterales; Asteraceae. The record is from RNAcentral.